GCGCUUGCAACCAGACUUGCGCGCGGCGGUUCCCCCUUCCUUUUGGUUGGGCUACUCCGCCGUGUCCAGGCCAACAUCGGUUCUGGGGGUCGGUUAAAGGCUUGGGGAAUGUAUCUACCUUCGGGUCGACUUAUAGCCCCAAGUGUCAUGCGACCUCCCGGGACCGAGGAACGCGCUUCGGCUCGGAUGUUGGCGUAAUGGUUGUCAGCGACCCGUCUUGAAACACGGACCAAGGAGUC
This 239-nucleotide ribosomal RNA is filed under the name Capronia fungicola. RNAcentral's name for it is "partial large subunit ribosomal RNA". Lineage: Eukaryota; Fungi; Ascomycota; Eurotiomycetes; Chaetothyriales; Herpotrichiellaceae. The record is from RNAcentral.